This 253-nucleotide ribosomal RNA is filed under the name uncultured bacterium. RNAcentral describes it as "partial 16S ribosomal RNA". It matches the Rfam family "Bacterial small subunit ribosomal RNA", at positions 524 to 776 of the family's 1533-position model. The record is from RNAcentral.
UACAGAGGGUGCGAGCGUUGUCCGGAAUCACUGGGCGUAAAGCGCGUGUAGGCGGCUUUGCAAGUCGGGUGUGAAAGCCCUCGGCUCAACCGAGGAAGUGCGCCCGAAACUGCAGAGCUCGAGUGCCAGAGAGGGUGGCGGAAUUCCCCAAGUAGAGGUGAAAUUCGUAGAUAUGGGGAGGAACACCAGUGGCGAAGGCGGCCACCUGGAUGGUGACUGACGCUGAGACGCGAAAGCGUGGGGAGCAAACAGG